GGGAUGGAGCAGUCUGGUAGCUCGUCGGGCUCAUAACCCGAAGGUCGUCGGUUCAAAUCCGGCUCCCGCAACCA
This 74-nucleotide transfer RNA is filed under the name Pseudomonas saudiphocaensis. RNAcentral's name for it is "tRNA-Met". It matches the Rfam family "tRNA". Rfam says of the family: Transfer RNA (tRNA) molecules are approximately 80 nucleotides in length. Their secondary structure includes four short double-helical elements and three loops (D, anti-codon, and T loops). The record is from RNAcentral. Lineage: Bacteria; Pseudomonadati; Pseudomonadota; Gammaproteobacteria; Pseudomonadales; Pseudomonadaceae. RNAcentral also lists the same sequence under 3 other names.